Equus caballus (horse) is the source of this 122-nucleotide non-coding RNA. NCBI's taxonomy places the organism in Eukaryota, Metazoa, Chordata, Mammalia, Perissodactyla, Equidae. The record is from Rfam.
GUCUAUGGCCAUAGCACUCUGAACGCACCCAAUCUCGUCUGAUCUCGGAAGCAAAGCAGGGUCGGGCCUGGUUAGUACUUGGAUGGGAGAUUGGUUAUGAAAAGGUCCAACUAUUAUAUGCA